Molecule: ribosomal RNA, 564 nt
Filed under: uncultured bacterium
Lineage: Bacteria
Description: partial 16S ribosomal RNA
Rfam family: Bacterial small subunit ribosomal RNA
Source: RNAcentral
UGGGGAAUCUUGCACAAUGGGGGAAACCCUGAUGCAGCGACGCCGCGUGAGCGAUGAAGCCCUUCGGGGUGUAAAGCUCUUUCGGCAGGAACGAUAAUGACGGUACCUGCAGAAGAAGCUGCGGCUAACUACGUGCCAGCAGCCGCGGUAAUACGUAGGCAGCGAGCGUUGUUCGGAGUUACUGGGCGUAAAGAGUGCGUAGGUGGUUCUCUAAGUUCGGUGUGAAAUCUCCCGGCUCAACUGGGAGGGGUGCGCCGAAAAACUGGAGGGCUGGAGUGCGGGAGAGGAGAGCGGAAUUCCUGGUGUAGCGGUGAAAUGCGUAGAUAUCAGGAGGAACACCUGUGGUGCAGACGGCUCUCUGGACCGCUACUGACACUGAGGCACGAAAGCGUGGGGAGCAAACAGGAUUAGAUACCCUGGUAGUCCACGCCCUAAAACGAUGCAUACUUGGUGUGGGUCAUUCAGUUGAUCCGUGCCGGAGCUAACGCGUUAGGUAUGCCGCCUGGGGAGUACGGUCGCAAGGCUGAAACUUAAAUGAAUUGACGGGGUCAUAGCUGUUUCCUG